This 253-nucleotide ribosomal RNA is filed under the name uncultured bacterium. RNAcentral describes it as "partial 16S ribosomal RNA". It matches the Rfam family "Bacterial small subunit ribosomal RNA", at positions 524 to 776 of the family's 1533-position model. The record is from RNAcentral.
UACGUAGGGGGCAAGCGUUGUCCGGAAUCAUUGGGCGUAAAGAGCGUGUAGGCGGUCCGUUAAGUCGGCUGUGAAAGUCCAGGGCUCAACCCUGGGAUGCCGGCCGAUACUGGCGGACUAGAGUCCGGAAGAGGUGAGUGGAAUUCCCGGUGUAGCGGUGAAAUGCGCAGAUAUCGGGAGGAACACCAAUGGCGAAGGCAGCUCGCUGGAACGGAACUGACGCUGAGGCGCGAAAGCGUGGGGAGCGAACAGG